This 202-nucleotide ribosomal RNA is filed under the name uncultured bacterium. RNAcentral describes it as "partial 16S ribosomal RNA". It matches the Rfam family "Bacterial small subunit ribosomal RNA", at positions 29 to 226 of the family's 1533-position model. The record is from RNAcentral.
AACGAACGCUGGCGGCGUGGAUUAGGCAUGCAAGUCGAGCGAGAAAGAGGGUUCGCCCCUUGAGUAAAGCGGCAAACUGGUGAGUAACAGGUGGGUAAUGUGCCCUAGAGUGGGGGAUAACUACCGGGAAACCGGAGCUAAUACCGCAUGUGGCCGUGAGGUCUUCGGACUCCACGGUUAAAGACUUCGGUCGCUCUGGGAU